Molecule: transfer RNA, 87 nt
Filed under: Fimbriimonadaceae bacterium
Lineage: Bacteria; Bacillati; Armatimonadota; Fimbriimonadia; Fimbriimonadales; Fimbriimonadaceae
Also listed under: 1 other name
Description: tRNA-Ser
Rfam family: tRNA
About the family: Transfer RNA (tRNA) molecules are approximately 80 nucleotides in length. Their secondary structure includes four short double-helical elements and three loops (D, anti-codon, and T loops).
Source: RNAcentral
GGAGGGCUAGUCCUAACUGGUAAGGCGUCUGACUUGAAAUCAGAUGGGCGCAAGCCCAUGCGGGUUCGAAUCCUGCGCCCUCCGCCA